Molecule: ribosomal RNA, 532 nt
Filed under: uncultured fungus
Lineage: Eukaryota; Fungi
Description: eukaryotic LSU rRNA
Rfam family: 5.8S ribosomal RNA (bases 184-337)
Source: RNAcentral
GUCGUAACAAGGUUUCCGUAGGUGAACCUGCGGAAGGAUCAUUACCUAGAGUUGUAGGCUUUGCCUGCUAUCUCUUACCCAUGUCUUUUGAGUACUUACGUUUCCUCGGCGGGUCCGCCCGCCGAUUGGACAAUUUAAACCAUUUGCAGUUGCAAUCAGCGUCUGAAAAACUUUAAUAGUUACAACUUUCAACAACGGAUCUCUUGGUUCUGGCAUCGAUGAAGAACGCAGCGAAAUGCGAUAAGUAGUGUGAAUUGCAGAAUUCAGUGAAUCAUCGAAUCUUUGAACGCACAUUGCGCCCCUUGGUAUUCCAUGGGGCAUGCCUGUUCGAGCGUCAUUUGUACCUUCAAGCUUUGCUUGGUGUUGGGUGUUUGUCUCGCCUCUGCGUGUAGACUCGCCUUAAAACAAUUGGCAGCCGGCGUAUUGAUUUCGGAGCGCAGUACAUCUCGCGCUUUGCACUCAUAACGACGACGUCCAAAAGUACAUUUUUACACUCUUGACCUCGGAUCAGGUAGGGAUACCCGCUGAACUA